RNAcentral lists this ribosomal RNA (274 nucleotides) under uncultured prokaryote. RNAcentral's name for it is "partial 16S ribosomal RNA". It matches the Rfam family "Bacterial small subunit ribosomal RNA", at positions 524 to 798 of the family's 1533-position model. The record is from RNAcentral.
UACGUAGGGAGCAAGCGUUGUCCGGAAUUACUGGGUGUAAAGGGAGCGUAGGCGGAAUGGAAAGUUGAAUGUUAAAUCCAUCGGCUCAACCGGUGGCCGCGUUCAAAACUUCUGUUCUUGAGUGAAGUAGAGGCAGGCGGAAUUCCUAGUGUAGCGGUGAAAUGCGUAGAUAUUAGGAGGAACACCAGUGGCGAAGGCGGCCUGCUGGGCUUUAACUGACGCUGAGGCUCGAAAGCGUGAGGAGCAAACAGGAUUAGAUAUCCCGGUAGUCCCU